CUCUGUCAGGAUGCUCUUGAUGAACCUGAACCCUCGCCUAAGCCUCGGCCCAAGCGUGCAAACAUGCCAGGGGUGGAAAAGGACCACACCUUUGCACUGCCAAGCUGUCCAAUUGCUCUAAAGAAGAGACUGAUUCAGGCUACAGACAAUGUGAUCACACUGGAGCGGGAGAAGAGUUAUGCAAGGAAGCGUGAACUGAGGGCAAAGAGUCAUAUGACAUAUACCUCCCGCCAUAUAUUGACUUGUCACCAGCACACUAUCGCAGGAAAAGUGGGCUGCUAAAUGCGCUUCCGCCUUCGACUACAGUACUGAGUUCUGCUUACAGUAGGCUGAUAUGUGAUGUUAUAUGUUUUUGUUUGUUUUGUACAAAAGUGUUCAUAAAGGCUGAAGUGUUUCGAC
Molecule: long non-coding RNA, 399 nt
Organism: Myripristis murdjan (pinecone soldierfish)
Lineage: Eukaryota; Metazoa; Chordata; Actinopteri; Holocentriformes; Holocentridae
Exons: 2
Source: RefSeq, a predicted model, not a curated record